ACGCUGGCGGCACGCCUAACACAUGCAAGUCGAACGCAGUAGCAAUACUGAGUGGCAAACGGGUGAGUAUAAUGUGGGAAUCUGCCUUUUGGUUUGGAAUAACACGGGGAAACUUGUGCUAAUACCGAAUAAGCCCUUACGGGGAAAGUUUUAACGCCGAAAGAUGAGCCUGCACUUGAUUAGCUAGUUGGUAAGGUAAAGGCUUACCAAGGCUACGAUCAAUAGCUGUUCUUAGAGGAAGACCAGCCACAUUGGGACUGAGACACGGCCCAGACUCCUACGGGAGGCAGCAGUGGGGAAUCUUGCACAAUGGGGGAAACCCUGAUGCAGCGAUGCCGCGUGAGUGAAGAAGGCCCUUGGGUUGUAAAACUCUUUCGUCGGGGAAGAAAAUGACUGUACCCGAAUAAGAAGGUCCGGCUAACUUCGUGCCAGCAGCCGCGGUAAUACGAAGGGACCUAGCGUAGUUCGGAAUUACUGGGCUUAAAGAGCUCGUAGGUGGUUAAAAAAGUUGAUGGUGAAAUCCCAAGGCUCAACCUUGGAACUGCCAUCAAAACUUUUUAGCUAGAGUGUGAUAGAGGUAAGUGGAAUUUCUAGUGUAGAGGUGAAAUUCGUAGAUAUUAGAAAGAACACCAAAUGCGAAGGCAACUUACUGGGUCACUACUGACACUGAGGAGCGAAAGCAUGGGUAGCGAAGAGGAUUAGAUACCCUCGUAGUCCAUGCCGUAAACGAUGUGUGCUAGACGUUGGAAAUAUAUUUUUCAGUGUCGCAGCGAAAGCAUUAAGCACACCGCCUGGGGAGUACG
This 803-nucleotide ribosomal RNA is filed under the name uncultured Pelagibacteraceae bacterium. Its description in RNAcentral is "bacterial SSU rRNA". It matches the Rfam family "Bacterial small subunit ribosomal RNA", at positions 33 to 884 of the family's 1533-position model. The record is from RNAcentral. Lineage: Bacteria; Pseudomonadati; Pseudomonadota; Alphaproteobacteria; Candidatus Pelagibacterales; Candidatus Pelagibacteraceae.